GGCUAACGCUGGCGGCGUGUCUUAGCCAUGCAAGUCGAGCGGACUUAUGGGGUAACUUAUAAGUCAGCGGCGGACGGCGGAGUAACACGUAGCUAACCUACCCUCUGGACGGGGAUAACCUACCGAAAGGUGGGCUAAUACCCGAUGUAGUCAUCCUGUAUAGGGGUGAUGAAAGGUGGGCUUCUGUUUACAAGCUCAUGCUGGAGGAGGGGGCUGCGGCCUAUCAGGUAGUUGGUAGGGUAAUAGCCUACCAAGCCGAUGACGGGUAGCCGGCCUGAGAGGGUGACCGGCCCGAGGGGCACUGAGAUACGGGUCCCACUCCUACGGGAGGCAGCAGGCUAGAAAUUUGGGCAAUGGGGGAAACCCUGACCCAGUGACGCCGCGUGCAGGAAGGAGCCCUUCGGGGUGUAAACUGCUGUCGUGUAGGGAGAAGGGUACUAAGGUGAACAAUCUUAGUACUUGACGGUACUACAGGAGGAAGCCCAGGCUAACCUCGUGCCAGCAGCCGACGGUAAAUAGCGUACU
Molecule: ribosomal RNA, 525 nt
Filed under: uncultured bacterium
Lineage: Bacteria
Description: bacterial SSU rRNA
Rfam family: Bacterial small subunit ribosomal RNA
Source: RNAcentral